Molecule: ribosomal RNA, 443 nt
Filed under: uncultured bacterium
Lineage: Bacteria
Description: partial 16S ribosomal RNA
Rfam family: Bacterial small subunit ribosomal RNA
Source: RNAcentral
CCUACGGGCGGCUGCAGUGGGGAAUAUUGGGCAAUGGGCGCAAGCCUGACCCAGCAACGCCGCGUGAAGGAAGAAGGCUUUCGGGUUGUAAACUUCUUUUCUCAGGGACGAAGCAAGUGACGGUACCUGAGGAAUAAGCCACGGCUCACUACGUGCCAGCAGCCGCGGUAAUACGUAGGUGGCAAGCGUUAUCCGGAUUUACUUGGUGUAAAGGGCGUGUAGGCGGGGACGCAAGUCAGAUGUGAAAACCACGGGCUCAACCUGUGGCCUGCCUUGGAAACUGUGUUUCUUGAGUACUGGAGAGGCAGACGGCAUUCCUCGUGUAGCGGUGACAUGCGUAGAUAUUAGGCGGAACACCAGUGGCGAAGGCGGUCUGCUGGCCAGCCACUGACGCUGAGGCGCGCAAGCGUGGGGAGCAAACAGGAUUAGAUACCCGAGUAGUC